CCGUCACAUAUUAGCUAGGUAACUGGGCGGCAGGUAGCCUAGCGGUUAAGAACGUUGGGUAACCGAAAGGUCGCUAGUUCGAAUUCCCAAGCCGACUAUGUGCCUAAUCUUUCCUGAAGCAAGUCACUUAACCCCAGUUGCUCAUGUAGUCGCUCUGGAUAAGACCGUCUGCAAAAAAAAAAUACUUAUGUGAAACUAGAAACAAAAUAGUUUGCCAGUUUGUCGUCCUAAAAACCGGAAAUUAGGUACUUCUGGUUGUCAUUCAUAUGGGGAAAUAAUACGGUUUUGGGAUGAACGCCGAAAAUAAGGUCUGAGGUUUAAGUUAACACAGGUUUAGGAGAACGUAUACGUUUUGUUCUAUGAGAAGUCAGUUAACAUAAUCGUGAAUUAUUAAGCCAUAUGUGCUUUAUGUACUUUUUUAUUACAUAAAUGCUUAACAAUUCAAAAUGACGUUAGCUGAUUGAUGAUCUCUUAGAUCAAAACGUAUACGAUAUUGUCCAUGGAAAGCUUUGUCCAACGAACCAUGACGGAGUUAGUGCCUACAAAAAGACUCCGUUAGUAUUGCUCUCUAUAUACCCCAUGUCCCGGACCCAAGACAGGAAAUUCGAGACAUAUACAGGAUGCUACCCUCGACAGCAUAACCUUCACUCCAGAUCAAAAAUCCAAACCUACAACCUAAUUUUGGACUAAAGGACCUGGAAGGAUUAAUGCUACUAUCCAACCUGGAACUGAGACAGACCAGAUUAAACUUCAAUUAGCACUGAUGUGUGAGGUGUCAAAGCCUUUGAGCCCAACAAAUGGCAGGCUACCCCACCCAAAUCCAGAGGCCUUGAAGCCCCCUCCUGCUGUUCAGAGACCAUCUACUGGCAUUUUCUACAAUAGAUCUGCCUCCAGAAAAAAGCUUCUUCCAAGUGGGUGUGACACCUACUUCCAUUGCCUGCUGCACUGCUGCUUGGAUUCCACCUGGCGAUCUGUUUACCGUCUGUCCUGGUUGUCUCCCCCUGGUACAGGUACCACCCCCCCGAGCUUUCGCUCGCCUCCAGCUCACAGGCACUGUUGGGGAAAGUGACUCUGACCUUAUAAUGGCUAGUCCCAAGUUGUGUGCAUUUUUGCUAUUUGUCUCAUGAUUCCUGCAUGCUUUGUUCACUGAACUUUCUUGUUUACCCAACCGUGGGACAGACUGUUUGGGACUUGGGACUCUGACUCUCUAUUGGUUACACGGACUCUUGGCCUCCCAUCCUAUUCUAACCACCUCUCGCCGGCUUUGUAUUCAUGUUACCGGAUGAAAUUGCUGUGUAAAAUGAUCUUGUUGCCAUCUGAUGCACAUUCAAAUGUAAUAAAUCAACACUGCAGAGCUCUCCCUGUCCUCUACCGUGCCUUGAUUUUAUUACUGUUGAUGAUAUCUGGAAAUGUGCAUGUACACCCUAUCUACUGUUGAUAGCCCCAAUUCGUGUGCUCUGAUAUCUGUUUCACUGAUUUCUACUCUUGUAAAAGCCUGGUUAUUCUGCACAUUAACACUAGAA
Long non-coding RNA from Oncorhynchus tshawytscha (Chinook salmon), 1523 nucleotides. The record is from Ensembl. NCBI's taxonomy places the organism in Eukaryota, Metazoa, Chordata, Actinopteri, Salmoniformes, Salmonidae.